CAAGUCGAGCGAACCCUUCGGGGUUAGCGGCGGACGGGUUAGUAACGCGUGGGAAUAUGCCCAAAGGUACGGAAUAGCCUCGGGAAACUGAGAGUAAUACCGUAUGUGCCCUUCGGGGGAAAGAUUUAUCGCCUUUGGAUUAGCCCGCGUUGGAUUAGGUAGUUGGUGGGGUAAUGGCCUACCAAGCCGACGAUCCAUAGCUGGUUUGAGAGGAUGAUCAGCAACACUGGGACUGAGACACGGCCCAG
RNAcentral lists this ribosomal RNA (248 nucleotides) under uncultured bacterium. RNAcentral describes it as "partial 16S ribosomal RNA". It matches the Rfam family "Bacterial small subunit ribosomal RNA", at positions 58 to 334 of the family's 1533-position model. The record is from RNAcentral.